RNAcentral lists this long non-coding RNA (2899 nucleotides) under Sus scrofa (pig). RNAcentral's name for it is "lncRNA (ENSSSCG00000053275.1)". Lineage: Eukaryota; Metazoa; Chordata; Mammalia; Artiodactyla; Suidae. The record is from RNAcentral.
UUGAUUUACAAUGUUUCAUCAAGUUCUGCUGUACAACACAGUGACCCCAUCACACAUACUCCCCUGUGCUGUACUGUAGGGUCCCAUUGCCCAUCCAGUCCAAUUAUAUCAGUGUGCAUCGAACCCCCCGCAAAAUGCCCACCCAUCCCACUCCCUCCCCUUUCCCCCUUGGGAACCCCAAGUCUGCUCUCCUUAGCCAUGAUCUGUUUCUGUUUUUUGUGGGGUUUUUUGUGUGUUUUAUAAGAUAGGAUCAUCUGUGCCAUAUUUUAGAUUCCACAAAUAAGUGCUAUCAUAUGGUAUUUGUCUUUUUCUUUCUGGCUUACUUCACUUAGUACGAGAGUCUUUAGUUCCAUCCAUGUUGCGGCAAAUAGCAUUACUUUGUCUUUUUUAUGGCUGAGUAAUAUUCCAUUGUGUAUAUGUACCAUAUCUUCUUAAUCUAUUCAUCUGGUGCUGUGUGUGCUCAGGCUGCCUCUCCAGGCUCACAGUGGAAGGAGACGCCCAGGCUGCAGAAAGGGUGGCAGCAGAGCAGGGACCAGCCCCUGGGAGCCUUCUCCCAGCCAAGCACUCCCCAGCAGACUGUGGUGUGCCUAGGGCUGCACCAAAAUUCCCCAGAGACCAGGGCUGAGCCAGAGUGGUCAGUGGCCAAGUGGUUCUCCCUGGCCCACCCGCCCAGCCCUCAUGCCCAGGGAUGGAGAGCAUGGGGUCUUGUCAUGUCUGGCAAAUGGAAGCUGCCACUCCGAGGGGGCUUUGUUAGUUUAGAACCAGGAAGGGUUUUCUGUGGGAGGAGGGGAGAAGCUCAUAGACCCAAUCAGAGAACCCCCUAAACCAGCCAGCACUAGUGGCUACAGACACAAACCCCAGUCCCUCAAUUCAGUGUGGCCACCUGGUCCUCGGCCAGCCCAAUUUCUGCACUCGGAGAAUAGAGGCAGCCUGCCCAUUGCCUUGGUCCAGAGCCUCCUUCCACCCUUGCCAGGAAGCCCUGCCAGAAAAGCAGGGUGACAUUGGUAUCUCCAGAAAGCUGGGUGACCUUGGAUAAGUCGUGUAACCUCCCUGAGUCUCAUUCUAUCAUAUGGGGCUCUUUGCACAGACCUUACAUGUGGCUGUGAGGCUUGAGUGAGAGAAGUGUGCGCGGGGCUUGAUUCUGCACCUGGCACAUGGCAGGAGCUCAGCUGUGUGCCCGCGUCAUCUGCACCCCCAGUGGGGGCCUGAUGCAGGCAGGGUUCUGUCACCAGGCACCUGGCCUCAUGCUGGGCACUGGGAGGAAGAGGCCGGGGGUUGGGCGGGGGUGGCUGCCUGGGAAGAGGGGGCCCCAGAGGCUCUGCUCCCCUCAGGGUGAGAUGGGGAAACUGGCCCUGAGAGAGUGAGUGACUUGCCCAGGGUCACGCAGCAAGCCAGUGCCAGUCUCUGCCAGCUUAUGGGCCUCAGUGUUCUCACCGGUACAAUGGCUCCUCUCCUUGGCUGACCUUGAGAGGUCAGCCGGGAAGGAGAGGAAAGGGCUCUUGCCAGAAACGCAGAAGCUUCUUCCUGCUCCCCUUUGCGAUCCUGGGUCCCAGGAUCCAGAGCCGAUGGUAAGGGACUAUCUCAGGCCACCGCAUGAAGUGCCCCCACCCGGGGCUCUCUGGCUGAGGGCUGUGUGGGAGAACGGGCCGGCUCCCUUUCCUCCACGCUCACCGGGACUGGUGGAGGGGCCGAGGGGCCGAGGGGCCAAUGCCGCCCCGUGGCAUUCAUGAGCAGGGUGCCCUGAUGUCCCCAGGGGGCUGGGGAGCAGCGUGCCUGCCCCCCCCCACUCCCAGAACAGUGUGCAUGCCUGUGACACACACUCCCACCCAGCUGGAAACCCUGCAGCUGGGACAGUCGUGGCCACACAGAGCAAUGAGGGACCUGGAGGCCGGGGGCCCAGCCUGAAUGAGACAGAGAGACAGAGAUGGAGCAAGACGGGCUCCCGCUCGUGCUCUGGCCCAGCCUGAUGAUCUGGGGGCCCCUUACCCAGGCUCAGCCUCACUUCCUCAUGCAUAAAGCGGGGACAUUAACCCUUUCUUGGUGGGAGAGUUUACAUGUGAGUUGAGGGGAGUGGACCUCCAUACUAUUAAAGAACUUUUUGGGAGCGCCCGUCGGGGCUCAGCGAGGGGUGCCCCCCGCCCCCGCCCCUGCCCCGCAGCCUUCACCUCUCUUGGCCUCUCGUUGUCCCUCAGUUCCACGGGGAGCCUGGAUGGAGGGUCCAGAGGCUUCCUCUUGCUCUUAAAGAUCGCCUGUCACCUCCGCGGUGGGGAAGGAAGGGCCCGGCAGGGUUGAGGAGGAGCAGCCACACAACAUUAGAGGGUUGCCUGGGUCCCAGAAGUGAGAUUCCGGGGUUCCCAGAAAGGCUGCCAUGUCCAGUAAAGCCAUCUGGAGCAGCCUGGAGCCGGGCCAGGCCGGCCGGGCUGGAGAUGAAUAGGGCUCCAGGGAUGGGGCAGGGGGUAGCGGGUGGGGAAGGGUCUGUCACCCCCACCACGCGGGGGGAGCCGGGCAGGCGGGAGGAGCCGAGUCUAAAUAAAUCACCAACACACGGAGGGAGGAGAAUUUCUCGAACAGGCGCCCUGGAUUAUGGACAUCAGGAGGGGAGAGGUGGGGGGUCGUUCGUGGGACCCCGUUCCUCUCAGGCACCCUGGCCCUUCCCCCCCCCUAAAUAUAGCAGGGGCUGUGAGUGUCUGAGGACCGGCCGCCUCCAGGGUGGGGGGAGCCUUGGUUGGGGGCCUCCGCUGCCCAGGCCCGGCCCCUUCAUCCCUGCUGUGAGAAACUCAAAAAGCCCCGGGCCCGACCGAGGGGAGAGAGGUGUUGAAAGCCGCAUCCUGCUCCGAGGCCUGAGCCAAGGCCAGAGAUAAUAUCAUGCGCUCACCCCCCCUCCCCGCGCUCCGCACCC